Molecule: ribosomal RNA, 253 nt
Filed under: uncultured bacterium
Lineage: Bacteria
Description: partial 16S ribosomal RNA
Rfam family: Bacterial small subunit ribosomal RNA
Source: RNAcentral
UACGUAGGGUGCAGGCGUUAAUCGGAAUUACUGGGCGUAAAGCGUGCGCAGGCGGUUUGCUAAGACAGGUGUGAAAUCCCCGGGCUUAACCUGGGAACUGCGCUUGUUACUGGCAAGCUGGAGUGUGGCAGAGGGGGGUGGAAUUCCACGUGUAGCAGUGAAAUGCGUAGAGAUGUGGAGGAACACCGAUGGCGAAGGCAGCCCCCUGGGCUAACACUGACGCUCAUGCACGAAAGCGUGGGGAGCAAACAGG